AGAACGAACGCUGGCGGCAUGCCUAAUACAUGCAAGUCGAACGAACUCUUCGGAGUUAGUGGCGCACGGGUGCGUAACGCGUGGGAAUCUGCCCUUGGGUUCGGAAUAACAGUUGGAAACGACUGCUAAUACCGGAUGAUGACGAAAGUCCAAAGAUUUAUCGCCCAGGGAUGAGCCCGCGUAGGAUUAGCUAGUUGGUGAGGUAAAGGCUCACCAAGGCGACGAUCCUUAGCUGGUCUGAGAGGAUGAUCAGCCACACUGGGACUGAGACACGGCCCAGACUCCUACGGGAGGCGGCAGUAGGGAAUAUUGGACAAUGGGCGAAAGCCUGAUCCAGCAAUGCCGCGUGAGUGAUGAAGGCCUUAGGUUGUAAAGCUCUUUACCCGAGAUGAUAAUGACAGUAUCGGAGAAUAAGCCCCGGACUAACUCCGCGCCAGCAGCCGAC
This 445-nucleotide ribosomal RNA is filed under the name uncultured soil bacterium. RNAcentral describes it as "bacterial SSU rRNA". It matches the Rfam family "Bacterial small subunit ribosomal RNA", at positions 26 to 518 of the family's 1533-position model. The record is from RNAcentral.